Molecule: unclassified non-coding RNA, 404 nt
Filed under: soil metagenome
Description: partial contains 5.8S ribosomal RNA, internal transcribed spacer 2, and large subunit ribosomal RNA
Rfam family: 5.8S ribosomal RNA (bases 1-122)
Source: RNAcentral
GAUGAAGAACGUAGCAAAAUGCGAUACUUGGUGUGAAUUGCAGAAUCCCGUGAACCAUCGAGUUUUUGAACGCAAGUUGCGCCCGAAGCCUUUUGGCCGAGGGCACGUCUGCCUGGGCGUCACGCAUCGCGUCGCCCCCCACAAUUCUCCGUAAAGGGAACGUGUGUUUUGGGGGCGGAUAUUGGUCUCCCGUGCUCAUGGCGUGGUUGGCCGAAAUAGGAGUCCUUUCGAUGGACGCACGAACUAGUGGUGGUCGUAAAAACCCUCGUCUUUUGUUUCGUGCUGUUGCUCGCAAGGCAAACUCUUUAAAAACCCCAAUGUGUCGUCUCUUGACGACGCUUCGACCGCGACCCCAGGUCAGGCGGGACUACCCGCUGAGUUUAAGCAUAUCAAUAAGCGGAGGA